This 575-nucleotide long non-coding RNA is filed under the name Brachypodium distachyon (stiff brome). RNAcentral's name for it is "long non-coding RNA (BDIS_LNC001602)". The record is from RNAcentral. Lineage: Eukaryota; Viridiplantae; Streptophyta; Magnoliopsida; Poales; Poaceae.
UGCCGUACUGUACGCUUAGGCUCUCUCAAUAUUCAUUUUUGAACUACUUAUAUAUUCCCUGUUCCAUAACAUGAGUCAUUUAUAGAUUGUUAAUUUAGCUAACUAAAUAUAAAUUAAAUAAUUUAAAAAAUAUAUCAUUAGAAAGUUCUUUCGAUAACGAACCUAAUGGUGUACUUUUUGUUAAGAAACAUACAUAUUUAAUUAAUCAAAUUGAGAACUUAGGAAUGCGUGCGUGCCUCAUAUUAUGGGACAGAGGAAUUACGCAUCCUAUGGCCUUUCCGAUUUUCCGAAUCACAUCUUGACAUCAUAAAAGAAAAGAAAAGAAAAACAGAAUUUGGAACAAACGAACAGAUGGCGCGCAGUUAAGAAAAUACUGUGUGACGCACUCGUGGAAGAAUAAUAAGAGAAUGUGGGUCGUUAAAAGAAGUCAGGAACAUGCAUGAUCGGAUCAGCUGCACGGCCUUCAGGAACCUGAUUCCGCAAAAGCGAGAACCACGUACCCUGCGUGAUCUGAUUCUUGGUUACUCAAUAAACUACUCAGUAUUACCACUUUCCAUUGAGCUAAAUAAAGCCGG